Molecule: ribosomal RNA, 65 nt
Filed under: Nitrospirillum iridis
Lineage: Bacteria; Pseudomonadati; Pseudomonadota; Alphaproteobacteria; Rhodospirillales; Azospirillaceae
Description: partial 16S ribosomal RNA
Rfam family: Bacterial small subunit ribosomal RNA
Source: RNAcentral
GAACCUGAGAGUUUGAUCCUGGCUCAGAACGAACGCUGGCGGCAUGCCUAACACAUGCAAGUCGA